This 504-nucleotide ribosomal RNA is filed under the name uncultured bacterium. RNAcentral describes it as "bacterial SSU rRNA". It matches the Rfam family "Bacterial small subunit ribosomal RNA", at positions 29 to 524 of the family's 1533-position model. The record is from RNAcentral.
AUUGAACGCUGGCGGCAUGCCUUACACAUGCAAGUCGAACGGUAACGCGGGGCAACCUGGCGACGAGUGGCGAACGGGUGAGUAAUACAUCGGAACGUGCCCAGUAGUGGGGGAUAGCCCGGCGAAAGCCGGAUUAAUACCGCAUACGACCUACGGGUGAAAGCGGGGGAUCGCAAGACCUCGCGCUAUUGGAGCGGCCGAUGUCAGAUUAGCUAGUUGGUGGGGUAAAAGCCUACCAAGGCGACGAUCUGUAGCUGGUCUGAGAGGACGACCAGCCACACUGGGACUGAGACACGGCCCAGACUCCUACGGGAGGCAGCAGUGGGGAAUUUUGGACAAUGGGGGGCAACCCUGAUCCAGCCAUGCCGCGUGCGGGGAGAAGGCCUUCGGGUUGUAAACCGCUUUGUCAGGGAAGAAACGGUACUGCGCUAAUACCGCGGACGUAAUAGACGGUACCUGAAGAAUAAGACACCGGCUAACUACGUAGCCAGCAGCCGCGGUAAU